UUGACCUCAAAUCAGGUAGGACUACCCGCUGAACUUAAGCAUAUCAAUAAGCGGAGGAAAAGAAACUAACAAGGAUUCCCCUAGUAACUGCGAGUGAAGAGGGAAGAGCUCAAAUUUAAAAUCUGGCAGUCUUAUGUCUGUCCGAGUUGUAAAUUAGAGAAGCGUUAUCCGCGCUGGCCUGUGCAAAAGUCUCUUGGAAAAGAGCAUCAUAGAGGGUGACAAUCCCGUCUUUGGCACAGACUACCAGGGCUUUUGUGAUGCGUUCUCGAUGAGUCGAGUUGUUUGGGAAUGCAGCUCUAAAUGGGUGGUAAAUUCCAUCUAAAGCUAAAUAUUGGCGAGAAACCGAUAGCGCACAAGUACCGUGAGGGAAAGAUGAAAAGAACUUUGAAAAGAGAGUUAAACAGUACGUGAAAUUGUUGAAAGGGAAACGCUUGAAGUCAGUCGUGUCCUUCAGAAAUCAACCUGACUUUCGUUGGGCGUACUUUCUGUUGGAUGGGUCAGCAUCAAUUUUGAUCGUUGGAUAAAGGCCUCGGGAAUGUGGCAUCUUCGGAUGUGUUAUAGACCUUGGUUCGCAUACAAUGGUUGGGAUUGAGGAACUCAGUGUGACUUAUGUUUGGGGCUUCGGCCUACACUACGCACUUAGGAUGCUGGCAUAAUGGCUUUAAUCGACCCGUCUUGAAACACGGACCAAGGAGUCUAACAUACAUGCGAGUGUUUGGGUGGAAAACUCAAGCGCGCAAUGAAAUUGAAAGUUGAGAACCCUGUCGUGGGGUGCAUCGACGCCCGGACCUGACCUUUUGUGACGGACCUGCGGUUAGAGCAUGCAUGUUGGGACCCGAAAGAUGGUGAACUAUGCCUGAAUAGGUUGAAGCCAGAAGGAAACUCUGGUUGGAAGCUCGUAGCGAUCUGACGUGCCAAAUCCGAUCGUUCGAAUUUGGGUAUAGGGGCGAAAGACUAAUCGGAACAUUUAGUAGCUGUUCCUG
RNAcentral lists this ribosomal RNA (983 nucleotides) under Clavicorona taxophila. Its description in RNAcentral is "LSU rRNA". It matches the Rfam family "Eukaryotic large subunit ribosomal RNA", at positions 1 to 960 of the family's 3401-position model. The record is from RNAcentral. Lineage: Eukaryota; Fungi; Basidiomycota; Agaricomycetes; Agaricales; Clavariaceae.